RNAcentral lists this ribosomal RNA (250 nucleotides) under uncultured prokaryote. RNAcentral describes it as "partial 16S ribosomal RNA". It matches the Rfam family "Bacterial small subunit ribosomal RNA", at positions 524 to 774 of the family's 1533-position model. The record is from RNAcentral.
UACGUAGGGGGCGAGCGUUAUCCGGAUUUAUUGGGCGUAAAGCGUUCGUAGGCGGUUUGUUAAGUCUGUGAUUUAAGGCUGGGGCUCAACCCCAGUUUGUUACAGAAACUGGCAGACUUGAGUGCGGUAGAGGCAAACGGAAUUUCUAGUGUAGCGGUUAAAUGCGUAGAUAUUAGAAGGAACACCAGUGGCGAAGGCGGUUUGCUGGGCCGUUACUGACGCUGAGGAACGAAAGCGUGGGGAGCAAAUA